Molecule: transfer RNA, 74 nt
Filed under: Malawimonas californiana (nom. ined.)
Lineage: Eukaryota; Malawimonada; Malawimonadea; Malawimonadida; Malawimonadidae
Description: Malawimonas californiana tRNA-Arg
Rfam family: tRNA
About the family: Transfer RNA (tRNA) molecules are approximately 80 nucleotides in length. Their secondary structure includes four short double-helical elements and three loops (D, anti-codon, and T loops).
Source: RNAcentral
GUGUUUUUAGCUCAGUCGGAUAGAGUUGUGGUUUUCUAAACCAUAAGUCGCAGGUUCAAGUCCUGCAGAACACA